UCGGACGACGGCAGUGGGAUGGCAGGACUGGAGGGAGGGAGAGGUCAGCACGGCUCCUCUUCGGCAUCUCUUGAUUCAUCAUCAGAUGCAGGUUGUAAUAACUGAUCUUCCUUCCUCACAUGACAGGGAGGCUUGUAAAGUAGUUCAGAGACCGGAAAGUGUUGUAUAAAGCCGUAUUGUCAGUGGACACAAGGAGGAAGUUGUCUGUGCUGUUGCCUCAUGAACCACAUCAAAGGAGAUUUAGCGGGAGUGGCACACACACUCACGACCUGACUAACCGCAGCGCUCAGACUAUUUCCUUGCCUGGAAAAUGGAGGCAGCGCCACAACCUCAAAGGGUGGUUACUGCAGUCAAUGAGACAGUGUCUCUAUCCUCCAGGCUGGUCUCAAACUCCUGGGCUCAAGCGAUCCUCCCGCCUCAGCCUCCCGAGUAGCUCCUUUGUCACCCUUAUCACUGUUGUGAUGAAUUGUACAAAUGGCUUAUUGGCAGUUUUAUUUAUUUUCCUUUGAUGGCUCAGCUCAUCAAAGGAAGUGGCCGGCCAAUCGUCAGCGGGCAGGGUAGGGACCAGUCCGUCCUGGCUCCCAUCUGCAGCCCCAGUGCGCAUCCCGACUCUGGAGCUAGCUCCGGGAACGUUUGUCACAUGUCUGAAGAAUGCAUGAAUUAUAUAACCUUCUCUCCACUCAACCCCUCAAAAAGCAAGUGGAUCCAAGUACUUGAAGACUUUUUUUUUUUUAGACGGAGUUUCACUCUUGUUGCCCAGGCUGGAGUGCAAUGGGGUGAUCUCGGCUCACCGCAAUAUCCGCCUCCCGGGUUCAAGCAAUUCUACCUCUGCCUCCGUAGUAGCUGGGGAUUACAGGCAUGCGCCACCGCGCCCGGUUAAUUUUUUGUAUUUUUAGCAGAGAUGGGGUUUCUCCAUGUUUUUGGCUAGGCUGGUCUCGAACUCCCUACCUCGGGUGAUCCGCCCGCUUCAGCCUCCCAAAGUGCUGGAAUUAAGGCGUGAGCCACAGCGCCCGGCCGAACUUGAAGAUUUUAUAAUCUCUUCUUCGUUAGUAAAAUUUUAAUAUCCUUGCCAGUAAAAAUAAUAAUGAUGGUGAAAAACGUUAAGUUCGAACGCAGGUAGGGCACAGCUAAAAUCCAAAGGGCGAAAUAUUUACAACGUCUACCGUCGGGGAAGAGAAACAGCAGCCCCAAUCGGCGGCAAAAAGAAAUCCCUCCGCAGCCUGCAAAGGCGCGUGGGCGGGACUGGAGCCUGAGGCCCAGGGCAGUAAGUGCAGAAGCCAGGACCAGCCUCAGCCGUGAGAAAAGCAGCCCGGGGGAGGCGGGGCGGGGCCUCACUCCGAAGGGAACGGCCACUCGUUUAGAGGCGGGACACAGAGGCCCUCCACAAGUCUCAUUGGUCUAAUUGGAGACGGACAACUCUCGCUGACCAGUCAUAGCCAAGAUGGGGCGCAAGCGUAUUUGGAAACGGAGAAAGCGCCGAACACCGGAACCACGCAUGCGUCUCAGCGUUUUCGCGCCAGCACAGCCUUAGUGGAUGGGGGCAAUUGAAUUCCCACAGUGAGUCCAGCCCACCGAAACUCAGCAGGAUUCCUAAACUUCCACUUUAAAGAGCCUCGGGUUUAGGGAACGUCCUGUGCCCAGAGCCUGCCCCGUGGGAAUCCCAACAUCCAUCGCCUCUUACAUAAUGUUUCGUCCUGGCCGCGCCUCAGCCCUUCCUGAUGCUGGGUUGUUAUGAUGGUGAAUUAUUGACGAAGUCUUGCAGCCUGACGCCAUCUCUGGGCACUGCUCCUUCCUCCUCCCUGGCUUCCUUGGAGGGUACCACGUUGCCCCUACAAGCAUAGGGUCCUAAAGCUGUUUACAAGUCCCCACUCUGCCACUUUCAUAUCUUAACGAGUGUUGGUUGAGGACCUACUGUUAGACUCAGCGGAAUGCGCAAGUUCCUGAUCUUGGGACCUUACAUUCUAUGGGACAACACAAACGUAAACAAAAAAUAAUUGUAGAUAGUGAUACAUGCUCAAAACAUGGCUAUGUGACCAGGCGCAGUGACUCACACCUGUAAUUCCAGCACUUUGGGAGGCCGAGGCAGGCGGAUCACUUGAGGUAAGGAAUUCGAGACCAGCCUGCCCAACAUGGUGAAACCCCAUGUCUACUAAAAAUACAAAACUUAGCCUGGUGGACAUGGUGGCAGGCACCUGUACGCCUAGCUACUUGGAAGGCUGAGGCAGGAGAAUCGCUUGAACCCGGAGGGUGGAAGGUUGCAGUGAUCCCAGAUGCACCACUGCAUUCCAGCCUGGGUGAGAGAGCAAGACUCUGUCUCAACAACAACAACAACAACAAAAAACAUGGCUAUGUGAUAGACUAAAACGGGUAUUGGGUGCUCACUGAAAUGGUGAGAAUGGAGCUAAAACCUGAAAUUAGGUGACAGCAGCAGCUAUAGGGGCUAAGGGUUUCGUGCUUGGAAAACAGCAGAUGCAAACGUGCUUGUGCUGUGAGACAAUUUGGGUGGAACAGAAGGUGUGCCAUAGUCCCUGAGAGCUUGGAGGUGAUUCUAAACACAAUGGGAAGCCAUUAAAUUGAGGCAGAGCCUUGACAUGCUUUAUCAUCA
Callithrix jacchus (white-tufted-ear marmoset) is the source of this 2605-nucleotide non-coding RNA. Lineage: Eukaryota; Metazoa; Chordata; Mammalia; Primates; Cebidae. The record is from RefSeq and is a predicted model, not a curated record.